AAUCUUUUCCUCCUGAAUUUCAGGGUCAGCAACAACAUAUUGCUUUAACAACCUAUCACCAAAUGCACGUGAAACAGCAAGAACACCUCCAACUCUCCAAGUUCCAGCCCACAUCACAAAUCCUCCAGCAUCCUCAAUUCGUCGUCGCUCAUCAGUUUGGUCAGGCUUAUGAUCUCGAGAGACAGCAAUGGCAGUGCCACCCCGGCAAAUAACAGCUCUAGAGUCACCCACAUUUGCAACAAGUAAGCGGUCACCAACUAGGAUGGCAGUGGA
Molecule: unclassified non-coding RNA, 273 nt
Filed under: Hevea brasiliensis (rubber tree)
Lineage: Eukaryota; Viridiplantae; Streptophyta; Magnoliopsida; Malpighiales; Euphorbiaceae
Source: RNAcentral